AGUGAACGCUGGCGGUAGGCCUAACACAUGCAAGUCGAACGGCAGCACAGUAAGAGCUUGCUCUUACGGGUGGCGAGUGGCGGACGAGUGAGGAAUACAUCGGAAUCUACUUUUUCGUGGGGGAUAACGUAGGGAAACUUACGUUAAUACCGCAUACGACCUACGGGUGAAAGCAGGGGAUCUUCGGACCUUGCGCGAUUGAAUGAGCCGAUGUCGGAUUAGCUAGUUGGCGGGGUAAAGGCCCACCAAGGCGACGAUCCGUAGCUGGUCUGAGAGGAUGAUCAGCCACACUGGAACUGAGACACGGUCCAGACUCCUACGGGAGGCAGCAGUGGGGAAUAUUGGACAAUGGGCGCAAGCCUGAUCCAGCCAUACCGCGUGGGUGAAGAAGGCCUUCGGGUUGUAAAGCCCUUUUGUUGGGAAAGAAAAGCAGCAGGUUAAUACCCCGCUGUUCUGACGGUACCCAAAGAAUAAGCACCGGCUAACUUCGUG
RNAcentral lists this ribosomal RNA (492 nucleotides) under uncultured bacterium. RNAcentral describes it as "partial 16S ribosomal RNA". It matches the Rfam family "Bacterial small subunit ribosomal RNA", at positions 29 to 507 of the family's 1533-position model. The record is from RNAcentral.